GACGAACGCUGGCGGCAGGCCUAACACAUGCAAGUCGAACGGUAACAGGAAGAAGCUUGCUUCUUUGCUGACGAGUGGCGGACGGGUGAGUAAUGUCUGGGAAACUGCCUGAUGGAGGGGGAUAACUACUGGAAACGGUAGCUAAUACCGCAUAACGUCGCAAGACCAAAGAGGGGGACCUUCGGGCCUCUUGCCAUCGGAUGUGCCCAGAUGGGAUUAGCUAGUAGGUGGGGUAACGGCUCACCUAGGCGACGAUCCCUAGCUGGUCUGAGAGGAUGACCAGCCACACUGGAACUGAGACACGGUCCAGACUCCUACGGGAGGCAGCAGUGGGGAAUAUUGCACAAUGGGCGCAAGCCUGAUGCAGCCAUGCCGCGUGUAUGAAGAAGGCCUUCGGGUUGUAAAGUACUUUCAGCGGGGAGGAAGGGAGUAAAGUUAAUACCUUUGCUCAUUGACGUUACCCGCAGAAGAAGCACCGGCUAACUCCGUGCCAGCAGCCGCGGUAAUACGGAGGGUGCAAGCGUUAAUCGGAAUUACUGGGCGUAAAGCGCACGCAGGCGGUUUGUUAAGUCAGAUGUGAAAUCCCCGGGCUCAACCUGGGAACUGCAUCCGAUACUGGCAAGCUUGAGUCUCGUAGAGGGGGGUAGAAUUCCAGGUGUAGCGGUGAAAUGCGUAGAGAUCUGGAGGAAUACCGGUGGCGAAGGCGGCCCCCUGGACGAAGACUGACGCUCAGGUGCGAAAGCGUGGGGAGCAAACAGGAUUAGAUACCCUGGUAGUCCACGCCGUAAACGAUGUCGACUUGGAGGUUGUGCCCUUGAGGCGUGGCUUCCGGAGCUAACGCGUUAAGUCGACCGCCUGGGGAGUACGGCCGCAAGGUUAAAACUCAAAUGAAUUGACGGGGGCCCGCACAAGCGGCGGAGCAUGCGGAUUAAUUCGAUGCAACGCGAAGAACCUUACCAAGGCUUGACAUGCACGGCGGCACUGCAGAGAUGUGGUGGCAUUUAGUUGGUCGUGUGCAGGUGGUGCAUGGUUGUCGUCAGCUCGUGUCGUGAGAUGUUGGGUUAAGUCCCGCAACGAGCGCAACCCUUGCCCUAUGUUGCCAGCACGUGAUGGUGGGGACUCGUGGGGGACUGCCGGGGUUAACUCGGAGGAAGGUGGGGAAGACGUCAAAUCAUCAUGCCCCUUAUGUCUUGGGCUUCACGCAUGCUACAAUGGCUGGUACAGAGGGUUGCGAUACUGUGAGGUGGAGCGAAUCCCUUAAAGCCAGUCUCAGUUCGGAUUGGGGUCUGCAACUCGACCUCAUGAAGUCGGAGUCGCUAGUAAUCGCAGAUCAGCAACGCUGCGGUGAAUACGUUCCCGGGGCU
Molecule: ribosomal RNA, 1364 nt
Filed under: uncultured bacterium
Lineage: Bacteria
Description: bacterial SSU rRNA
Rfam family: Bacterial small subunit ribosomal RNA
Source: RNAcentral